AGUGAACGUUGGCGGCGUGGAUUAGGCAUGCAAGUCGAGCGAGAACCGUAGCAAUACGGGGACAGCGGCGAAAGGGACAGUAAUGUGUAGGUACCUACCCCGAGGUCUGGGAUAGCUGCGGGAAACUGCAGGUAAUACCGGAUAAUGUCUUCGGACCAAAGGUGUGAUUCCACCUUGGGAGGGGCCUGCAUCCUAUUAGCUAGUUGGCGGGGUAAUGGCCCACCAAGGCAACGAUGGGUAGCGGGUGUGAGAGCACGACCCGCGUCAUUGGGACUGAGACACUGCCCAGACACCUACAGGUGGCUGCAGUCGAGGAUCUUCGGCAAUGGGCGCAAGCCUGACCGAGCGACGCCGCGUGCGGGAUGAAGGCCUUCGGGUUGUAAACCGCUGUCGUAGAGGAGGAAAUGCAGGGGGGUUCUCCCUUCUGUUUGACCUAUUCUAGGAGGAAGGACGGGCUAAGUUCGUGCCAGCAGCCGCCGUAA
Molecule: ribosomal RNA, 482 nt
Filed under: uncultured bacterium
Lineage: Bacteria
Description: partial 16S ribosomal RNA
Rfam family: Bacterial small subunit ribosomal RNA
Source: RNAcentral